Molecule: long non-coding RNA, 1066 nt
Organism: Daktulosphaira vitifoliae (grape phylloxera)
Lineage: Eukaryota; Metazoa; Arthropoda; Insecta; Hemiptera; Phylloxeridae
Exons: 2
Source: RefSeq, a predicted model, not a curated record
UGUGCGUGAACACUUAACCUUAGCCACACCGCGAGCCAGUGACCUUGAACGGCGAACGCAUUUGACUAACAGCGGACCGGCACCUAGGCAUCGUCGGCUACCUAUAAUAAGAGAUUAAAAAACACUGGGAACCCACUGACUUAAAGUCGUGGUCGUCAAUUCUCUUUGUUGUCCAUCAUAUCCCCCCUACCUAACAGAUUAUUACUAUCUGCCACCACUGCCGUACAGAUUCCAACCGGAAUCGUGUGUAUCGAUUUGUUUUCAUUAAAAAAUAUAAGAUUCUUGUCAGAUUAGGGAACCCCUAACCCAAACAUAAAAAAAAAUUGUAUGAUAAUCAAUUCAAUUUAAUAACAGCUGCUGCGGCAAUCGUGUUAUCAUAGCCAAACACUAUUGCAAACCAUAUGGUUAACCGUGGUUAUAUCCGUAGGUACUAUUUUAUUGAUAUAAAAUUCAUUCUAUUUAUCAUUUAAUUAUAUAAAUAUUAAACUAAGUACAUUUAUAUUAAUUAUAUUUAAUAUGUAAAUAGAAAUAAUUUACUUAAAAACAAUAAAACACUAUCAAAUUUUUGAAGUAAUGCGUAAAUACAUUUUGAGGCAACGAGGAAUAUCUUGGCCUAAAUUAAUUUUAGCAUCGGCAGUAGGAAUCAUUGCCGGUGUUUACAUUUGGAAGCCGUUCUUCGAAUCUCUUGAUUCUGAAAGAUCUUCAAGUGAUACUAAGAAAUAAUGCAAGCUCAAAAACCAGCUCUUCGACCUGGUGGUCCACUGGCAACAAACUUUAAUAGAAUAUUAGCAUUUGUUGGCUUAUCAUGGUUUGGUUAUAUGGUAGUAGUACGAUAUGUUAUUAAACCUUUACAUGUAAAAGGUAGAUUGAAAGAGAACGAAAAACUUAUGAAUGAAUUAUAUGAUGAACAGAAACAGCAAGCAAAGAAAAAUGAAUAAUUUUAAUUUAAUAAGUAUAUACUUUUUGAAAAAAUGUUUGAAGUGUCUUGUUUAUAUUUUUUAAUUUUUGUGCAACCACAUCUAAUAGUUUAUGUUAUAGUAUAAAAAUAAAAUCAAUGAUAUUGAAU